UGAGGAAUAUUGCGCAAUGGAGGAAACUCUGACGCAGCAACGCCGCGUGGGUGAAGAAGGCUUUCGGGUUGUAAAGCCCUGUCAGGCGGGAAGAAACUUCCGCAGGUGAAUAGUCUGUGGAACUGACGGUACCGCCAAAGGAAGCACCGGCUAACUCCGUGCCAGCAGCCGCGGUAAUACGGAGGGUGCGAGCGUUGUUCGGAAUUACUGGGCGUAAAGCGCGUGCAGGCGGUCUCUUAAGUCUGGUGUGAAAGCCCGGGGCUCACCCCCCGGGAGGGCACUGGAGACUGGGAGGCUAGAGUACCGGUGAGGAAGGUGGAAUUCCUGGUGUAGCGGUGAAAUGCGUAGAUAUCAGGAGGAACACCGGCGGUGUAGACGGCUUGCUAGACCAUAACUGACGCUGAGGGACGAAAGCGUGGGUAGCAAA
RNAcentral lists this ribosomal RNA (427 nucleotides) under uncultured bacterium. RNAcentral describes it as "bacterial SSU rRNA". It matches the Rfam family "Bacterial small subunit ribosomal RNA", at positions 355 to 772 of the family's 1533-position model. The record is from RNAcentral.